GACAACGCUGGCGGCGUGCUUAACACAUGCAAGUCGAGCGAUGAAGCUUUCUUCGGAAAGUGGAUUAGCGGCGGACGGGUGAGUAACACGUGGGUAACCUGCCUCAUAGAGGGGAAUAGCCUUUCGAAAGGAAGAUUAAUACCGCAUAAGAUUGUAAUACCGCAUGGUAUAGCAAUUAAAGGAGCAAUCCGGUAUGGGGUGAGCUCGCGUCCGAUUAGCUAGUUGGUGAGGUAACGGCCCACCAAGGCGACGAUCGGUAGCCGACCUGAGAGGGUGAUCGGCCACAUUGGAACUGAGAGACGGUCCAAACUCCUACGGGAGGCAGCAGUGGGGAAUAUUGGGCAAUGGGCGAAAGCCUGACCCAGCAACGCCGCGUGAGGGAAGAAGGUUUUCGGAUUGUAAACCUCUGUCCUUGGGGACGAAGGAAGUGACGGUACCCAAGGAGGAAGCCCCGGCUAACUACGUG
RNAcentral lists this ribosomal RNA (466 nucleotides) under uncultured bacterium. Its description in RNAcentral is "bacterial SSU rRNA". It matches the Rfam family "Bacterial small subunit ribosomal RNA", at positions 32 to 507 of the family's 1533-position model. The record is from RNAcentral.